UAACGGNUGGACCCNGCCAACUUGGAGGAAUGUAUAGCCAAUAGCUACUUGGCAUNCAUUGUACAGAUGAUGCAAGAUCGACGAUGUCGAAUAAAAUUUUAGGUAGAAUUAUGAUAAUGACAUUGUNUGCCUAUGUGUCUUGACCAAAUUACGUGCCAGCAGUNGCGGUAAUACGUAGAAGACUAGUGUUAUUCAUGUUUAAUCGGUUUAAAGGGUACCUAGACGGUAGAUCAAGCUUUUUCAUAUAAAUUAUGAUAAUUAAAGGGACUAAUUUACUAGAGUUACUUACGAGGGGGUAUUAAAGUACUGCUGGNGUAGAGAUGAAAUUCUGUCAUACCUCUUUUCGAAAGAAAAAUCAUGGCACAGGUAUAGGNGAAGGCAUCCCCUUAUGUGAUAACUGACGUUGAGGGACGAAGGCUUUGUGUAACAAACAGGAUUAGAUACCCUAGUAGUUGAAGCAGAAAAUGAUGAAUGUCAUAGAUUAGAUAUAUAAGUUUAUUCUAUAAAUGAAAGNGUAAGCAUUCCNCCUCAUGAGUAAUUUGGCAACAUUGGAAUUGAAAUCAUUAGACCGUUUNUGAAACCAGUAGNGAAGUAUGUUGUUUAAUUUGAUAGUCCGCAAAAAACCUUACCNCAAUUUGAAUAUUUAUAUUUUUUUUUUAUUGUUUUCUUCUUAAUUUUCUUCUAAUAACGUGUUCAGCAUGUAAAAAGAAGAAAGUUAAUAAAGAGACAAUAAUAUAUAUUUACAAGCGNNGCACGGCGGUGNUCAGUUAAUGUCGGGAGAACUU
RNAcentral lists this ribosomal RNA (785 nucleotides) under Punctelia rudecta. Its description in RNAcentral is "SSU rRNA". It matches the Rfam family "Bacterial small subunit ribosomal RNA", at positions 384 to 1076 of the family's 1533-position model. Lineage: Eukaryota; Fungi; Ascomycota; Lecanoromycetes; Lecanorales; Parmeliaceae. The record is from RNAcentral.